RNAcentral lists this ribosomal RNA (587 nucleotides) under uncultured bacterium. Its description in RNAcentral is "bacterial SSU rRNA". It matches the Rfam family "Bacterial small subunit ribosomal RNA", at positions 102 to 685 of the family's 1533-position model. The record is from RNAcentral.
ACGGGUGAGUAAUACAUCGGAACGUACCCAGAAGUGGGGGAUAACGUAGCGAAAGUUACGCUAAUACCGCAUACGUUCUACGGAAGAAAGUGGGGGACCUUCGGGCCUCAUGCUUUUGGAGCGGCCGAUGUCUGAUUAGCUAGUUGGUGAGGUAAAGGCUCACCAAGGCGACGAUCAGUAGCUGGUCUGAGAGGACGACCAGCCACACUGGGACUGAGACACGGCCCAGACUCCUACGGGAGGCAGCAGUGGGGAAUUUUGGACAAUGGGCGCAAGCCUGAUCCAGCAAUGCCGCGUGAGUGAAGAAGGCCUUCGGGUUGUAAAGCUCUUUUGUCAGGGAAGAAACGGCCGAGGCUAAUACCUUUGGCUAAUGACGGUACCUGAAGAAUAAGCACCGGCUAACUACGUGCCAGCAGCCGCGGUAAUACGUAGGGUGCAAGCGUUAAUCGGAAUUACUGGGCGUAAAGCGUGCGCAGGCGGUUUUGUAAGUCUGACGUGAAAUCCCCGGGCUUAACCUGGGAAUUGCGUUGGAGACUGCAAGGCUGGAGUCUGGCAGAGGGGGGUAGAAUUCCACGUGUAGCAGUGAA